RNAcentral lists this small RNA (867 nucleotides) under Arabidopsis thaliana (thale cress). Its description in RNAcentral is "ATSL126610". The record is from RNAcentral. Lineage: Eukaryota; Viridiplantae; Streptophyta; Magnoliopsida; Brassicales; Brassicaceae.
UUUUUUAAACUUAAUAACUAAUUUCUACUUGUAAUUGGUUUCAGAAAUACUAUUGAUUUUAAAGAACAAACUAAAUUUUAUAUCGAAUUUUUGUAUACAAAAUUUGUACAAUUUUAUUAGUUUAUCAAUAAAUUAAUAUCUCUCUAAAUUAAUAAAUUUCUUGGUCCUAAUAUUAUUAAUUUAUAGAGGUUUUGUUGUGGCCGACAUGAAUUCUUCGACGCAGAAGAAGCCCAAAUGAUUUAUUAGCAACAAAAACAAUAUAAUGGACCCAGUAUGGAGCUAAAGUUAUAUUGUUCAUAUGUGACAUUGUGUUGGGGGUUUUAGCACCUUGAUACAACGAGGAAUAUGUUGCUUCACUCAUCAGUUUUUGGAGUUAUUUAAAGAUGACGAAAAAGAGAGGAUAGUAGACAAACAAAAACAAUGGACGUCAUCCAUUAUGCCUCUUUGUUUCUUGGGGAUGAAGCCGUCUGAUGUCAAUGCCUAUGAUAGAGCUGAGGACGGCGAAAGCUCAAAAAUCCAGUCUCAAAAAGAGAAAACAGAUCAAAUCGUCAAAGCAAAGGCCCAUAAGGAUGUCGGAAACACUAGUUUGCCUGAAAGUCCAGUUGAGCCGGCAAAUCCGUUAUCUGAGAUCAAGCAAGAACCAGAAAAACUUCCUUGUGGUUAUGAAUGGAUCACAUGCGACUUGAACACUGAUGAUAUGUGUUCAGAGGUGUGCAAAUUUCUCAAGGAACAAUAUCUUGUUGACGGACAAAAGUUCAAGGAUGCUCUUCAACAACUUGCGCUAGAUGAUACAUUCGUUUGGUUUUAUUAUUAUUUUGCUUCUUCUCUAUAUGAACUACUUUUCCCAUGCGAUUUUUUUACUUUUGA